UUCAGAUUUUAGAACAAUCAUUGCAGAGGAUACAGCAGCCUGCAGUAUCCGCGUUGAGAUGUUAUUCAUCUGCUACCAAAGAGGUGUCGUCUUUCAAUCGCAAUCUGAAUUCUGCAAAGUUUCAAUCAAGCAUUUUUGGUAUUGUUGUUCCUGGCAAGCCAUCUUCCUUACAAUGAAGAAGAUCACUGUGCUAAGGUCCACAAUAACCAUUCUUCAGCCUAAGG
Molecule: non-coding RNA, 224 nt
Organism: Camellia sinensis
Lineage: Eukaryota; Viridiplantae; Streptophyta; Magnoliopsida; Ericales; Theaceae
Source: RefSeq, a predicted model, not a curated record